Long non-coding RNA from Vicia villosa (hairy vetch), 680 nucleotides. RefSeq lists it as uncharacterized. NCBI's taxonomy places the organism in Eukaryota, Viridiplantae, Streptophyta, Magnoliopsida, Fabales, Fabaceae. The transcript has 2 exons. The record is from RefSeq and is a predicted model, not a curated record.
UUCUCUGAAUUCUCACAUUUCCUCUCAUAUCCAUAACCAUAAACCCUCUUCUUUCUUCUCUUUUUCAUUCUCUUUCAUGUCGCUGAUGCCACUAUCAUGUCUUUUUAUCGUCAUUAACGCAACAAAUAGUUUCAACGAUUCAUAGUCAGAUCUGUAAAGUUAAGAGAUAUAAACUUCUAUGGUUUUUUCGUUUUUAUUAAUUACGUUUUUUUAUUCAACAUCUCUAACAUUGAUUUUAUGAUUUUCGUUUGGUUCCAAAACAAUGAACCUGACUUAUCUAAGCAUAAGGUGAUAAGAAUAGUAGAUAAAGGAGUUGAUAUCAUAUGGAUAACAAUUCAAGGGAGAAAAGAAGAUGAUGCUUGUUUCGGUAUUAAAAACUCUCUUGUGUAGAAAAAGUAAGCAUAAAUUAUAUGAUGCUUUAGGUUUGUAAUGUUUAUGUAUACACCGACAUCGUUAUGUGUAUAUGUCCAGUUAUAACAUACCGUUGGUGGCUGAUAUGUGAUCAUUUCAAAGACUCUUGGGUAUUGUUGGUUUCGGCUACGCGAUGUAGUUGGCUUUUACGGCGAGAAAGUUCUUUGUUUUGUAGGCAAAAUAGUUGGGUCUGGUUUUGAAGAUUUUUUUCACUCGUAACAUGAACUCUAUGAAGGCAUUAAGGAACUUGCUCAGGGUUGGUUUCUUUA